This 468-nucleotide ribosomal RNA is filed under the name uncultured bacterium. RNAcentral's name for it is "partial 16S ribosomal RNA". It matches the Rfam family "Bacterial small subunit ribosomal RNA", at positions 28 to 507 of the family's 1533-position model. The record is from RNAcentral.
GACGAACGCUGGCGGCGUGCUUAACACAUGCAAGUCGAACGGAAAGGCCCUGCUUUUGUGGGGUGCUCGAGUGGCGAAAGGGUGAGUAACACGUGAGUAACCUGCCCUUGACUUUGGGAUAACUUCAGGAAACUGGGGCUAAUACCGGAUAGGAGCUCCUGCUGCAUGGUGGGGGUUGGAAAGUUUCGGCGGUUGGGGAUGGACUCGCGGCUUAUCAGCUUGUUGGUGGGGUAGUGGCUUACCAAGGCUUUGACGGGUAGCCGGCCUGAGAGGGUGACCGGCCACAUUGGGACUGAGAUACGGCCCAGACUCCUACGGGAGGCAGCGGUGGGGAAUAUUGCACAAUGGGCGGAAGCCUGAUGCAGCAACGCCGCGUGCGGGAUGACGGCCUUCGGGUUGUAAACCUCUUUCAGCAGGGACGAAGCGCAAGUGACGGUACCUGCAGAAGAAGCACCGGCCAACUACGUG